GUUUUCAUGGUGUUGGGAGUAAGACUUGGAUGUCUGAUAUUGUUAACAUGUUGGUUAGCAUCAGGUUUCCAUUGGGUUACUUGCUGGGAUAAAGCUGUUAUAAGUCGAAAGAGUUGCUGUUGCUGCCUUCCUUGUAUGGUAAAAUCCUCAGACUACAAUCCUGCAUACCAUUGGAUGAACUGUUGCUAUCUUUUGU
This is a long non-coding RNA of Mytilus californianus (California mussel), 196 nucleotides long. RefSeq lists it as uncharacterized. Lineage: Eukaryota; Metazoa; Mollusca; Bivalvia; Mytilida; Mytilidae. The record is from RefSeq and is a predicted model, not a curated record. The transcript has 3 exons.